CCUGCUCCUGCUCCUGCUCUGGCUUCUACCUCUUCUUGAUCUUUUCCAUUCAUUUCUAGGAGAGCUGUGACGAUUCUGCUGCCUCCAUUCAUCAAGACCAGGAGACAUUCUUGUCCCAUAAUUCUCAUCUCCAUCCCAUGUGGGCAUUGGUUUUAAACUUUUGUUAGGGUCUUCAUCAAUGCUAUCAUCCCUACGUGAGCCUCUUCUUCCAGGCAAAGGUUCACGAACAGACCAUUUGGCGCGAUUACCACUAGCUCCUUCAGGAGAAUGCCAGCCAUGCUGUGAUUCUCUUUCAUGAAAAGACAAGCUUGCUUCCCCUGGCCAUGCAUUGUCAUGUACACUAUCAAAUGGGAUACGAGAUUCUUCUUUCAAAUCCCACUUAGAACCACGUCUUCUGCCACUUCUGCUCAUUUUGCCAAAAGCAGCGUCAAUUUCUGUCAUUCAAAAAGAGUGCAACCUGAUAAGUUGAGGACGGUUGCUGCAGUUUACUUGACAAUUAAUUGUGGCAAAUGCCACUGCUACUUACCCACUUCAUUCUCUCGGAUUAAGAUGCCCUCCAUUUUAAUGGCUUUAGAUGAAGUACGUGGAACCUGCAACAGAAACGGCGUUGGCCUGGCGGAGCAGACAAGCAAUCGGCGAUAUGGUGACGGCGGAGUUAAGAGAUCCGCGGUGGUCUGUUCUAGCUGUCGAAGCAGAAGUAUUCAGAGGCCAGGUCGACAAAAUAUUGAGAGGGAAGAAAAUU
RNAcentral lists this unclassified non-coding RNA (742 nucleotides) under Hevea brasiliensis (rubber tree). The record is from RNAcentral. Lineage: Eukaryota; Viridiplantae; Streptophyta; Magnoliopsida; Malpighiales; Euphorbiaceae.